CAGGUUUACCUGUGUGACUGCGUACCUUUUGUAUAAUGGGUCAGCGACUUAUAUUCUGUAGCAAGGUUAACCGAAUAGGGGAGCCGGAGGGAAACCGAGUCUUAAUUGGGCGUUAAGUUGCAGGGUAUAGACCCGAAACCCGGUGAUCUAGCCAUGGGCAGGUUGAAGGUUGGGUAACACUAACUGGAGGACCGAACCGACUAAUGUUGAAAAAUUAGCGGAUGACCUGUGGCUGGGGGUGAAAGGCCAAUCAAACCGGGAGAUAGCUGGUUCUCCCCGAAAGCUAUUUAGGUAGCGCCUCGUGAAUUCAUCUCCGGGGGUAGAGCACUGUUUCGGCUAGGGGGCCAUCCCGGCUUACCAACCCGAUGCAAACUGCGAAUACCGGAGAAUGUUAUCACGGGAGACACACGGCGGGUGCUAACGUCCGUCGUGAAGAGGGAAACAACCCAGACCGCCAGCUAAGGUCCCAAAGUCAUGGUUAAGUGGGAAACGAUGUGGGAAGGCCCAGACAGCCAGGAUGUUGGCUUAGAAGCAGCCAUCAUUUAAAGAAAGCGUAAUAGCUCACUGGUCGAGUCGGCCUGCGCGGAAGAUGUAACGGGGCUAAACCAUGCACCGAAGCUGCGGCAGCGACGCUUAUGCGUUGUUGGGUAGGGGAGCGUUCUGUAAGCCUGUGAAGGUGGCCUGUGAGGGUUGCUGGAGGUAUCAGAAGUGCGAAUGCUGACAUAAGUAACGAUAAAGCGGGUGAAAAGCCCGCUCGCCGGAAGACCAAGGGUUCCUGUCCAACGUUAAUCGGGGCAGGGUGAGUCGACCCCUAAGGCGAGGCCGAAAGGCGUAGUCGAUGGGAAACGGGUUAAUAUUCCCGUACUUGGUGUUACUGCGAAGGGGGGACGGAGAAGGCUAUGUUGGCCGGGCGACGGUUGUCCCGGUUUAAGCGUGUAGGUGUGUGUUCCAGGUAAAUCCGGUUCACUUUAACACUGAGGCGUGAUGACGAGGCACUACGGUGCUGAAGUAACAAAUGCCCUGCUUCCAGGAAAAGCCUCUAAGCAUCAGGUAACAUCAAAUCGUACCCCAAACCGACACAGGUGGUCAGGUAGAGAAUACCAAGGCGCUUGAGAGAACUCGGGUGAAGGAACUAGGCAAAAUGGUGCCGUAACUUCGGGAGAAGGCACGCUGACAC
RNAcentral lists this ribosomal RNA (1177 nucleotides) under Salmonella enterica. RNAcentral's name for it is "partial 23S ribosomal RNA". It matches the Rfam family "Bacterial large subunit ribosomal RNA", at positions 580 to 1757 of the family's 2925-position model. The record is from RNAcentral. RNAcentral also lists the same sequence under 1 other name. Lineage: Bacteria; Pseudomonadati; Pseudomonadota; Gammaproteobacteria; Enterobacterales; Enterobacteriaceae.